CCUACGGGAGGCAGCAGUGGGGAAUAUUGGACAAUGGGGGGAACCCUGAUCCAGCCAUGCCGCGUGUGUGAAGAAGGCCCUCGGGUUGUAAAGCACUUUCAGUGAGGAAGAACGCCUGGUGGUUAAUACCCAUCAGGAAAGACAUCACUCACAGAAGAAGCACCGGCUAACUCCGUGCCAGCAGCCGCGGUAACACGGAGGGUGCGAGCGUUAAUCGGAAUUACUGGGCGUAAAGCGCGCGUAGGUGGCUUGAUAAGCCGGUUGUGAAAGCCCCGGGCUCAACCUGGGAACGGCAUCCGGAACUGUCAAGCUAGAGUGCAGGAGAGGAAGGUAGAAUUCCCGGUGUAGCGGUGAAAUGCGUAGAGAUCGGGAGGAAUACCAGUGGCGAAGGCGGCCUUCUGGACUGACACUGACACUGAGGUGCGAAAGCGUGGGUAGCAAACAGGAUUAGAUACCCCUGUAGUC
This 465-nucleotide ribosomal RNA is filed under the name Vreelandella stevensii. RNAcentral's name for it is "partial 16S ribosomal RNA". It matches the Rfam family "Bacterial small subunit ribosomal RNA", at positions 338 to 795 of the family's 1533-position model. Lineage: Bacteria; Pseudomonadati; Pseudomonadota; Gammaproteobacteria; Oceanospirillales; Halomonadaceae. The record is from RNAcentral.